GGAUUUAUGAUGAGACAUACCUUGACUGAAACUGAUGAUGAGUUUUUAUAGUUAAGCAGGAUUACUCUGAGAUCC
This 75-nucleotide small nucleolar RNA is filed under the name Myotis lucifugus (little brown bat). RNAcentral describes it as "Small Nucleolar RNA SNORD64 (ENSMLUG00000021812.1)". Lineage: Eukaryota; Metazoa; Chordata; Mammalia; Chiroptera; Vespertilionidae. The record is from RNAcentral.